RNAcentral lists this ribosomal RNA (532 nucleotides) under uncultured Actinomycetes bacterium. RNAcentral's name for it is "bacterial SSU rRNA". It matches the Rfam family "Bacterial small subunit ribosomal RNA", at positions 900 to 1435 of the family's 1533-position model. Lineage: Bacteria; Bacillati; Actinomycetota; Actinomycetes. The record is from RNAcentral.
CUCAAAGGAAUUGACGGGGCCCCGCACAAGCAGCGGAGCAUGCGGCUUAAUUCGACGCAACGCGAAGAACCUUACCAAGGCUUGACAUAUACAGGAAUAUGGCAGAGAUGUCAUAGCCGAAAGGUCUGUAUACAGGUGGUGCAUGGUUGUCGUCAGCUCGUGUCGUGAGAUGUUGGGUUAAGUCCCGCAACGAGCGCAACCCUCGUUCUGUGUUGCCAGCAUUUAGUUGGGGACUCACAGGAGACUGCCGGGGUUAACUCGGAGGAAGGUGGGGAUGACGUCAAAUCAUCAUGCCCCUUAUGUCUUGGGCUGCACGCAUGCUACAAUGGCUGGUACAAACGGCUGCAAUACCGCAAGGUGGAGCGAAUCCGAGAAAGCCAGUCUCAGUUCGGAUUGGGGUCUGCAACUCGACCCCAUGAAGUCGGAGUUGCUAGUAAUCGUAGAUCUGCAACGCUACGGUGAAUACGUUCCCGGGGCUUGUACACACCGCCCGUCACGUCACGAAAGUCGGUAACACCCGAAGUCAGUGCCC